UAGGGAAUCUUCGGCAAUGGACGGAAGUCUGACCGAGCAACGCCGCGUGAGUGAAGAAGGUUUUCGGAUCGUAAAGCUCUGUUGUAAGAGAAGAACGAGUGUGAGAGUGGAAAGUUCACACUGUGACGGUAUCUUACCAGAAAGGGACGGCUAACUACGUGCCAGCAGCCGCGGUAAUACGUAGGUCCCGAGCGUUGUCCGGAUUUAUUGGGCGUAAAGCGAGCGCAGGCGGUUAGAUAAGUCUGAAGUUAAAGGCUGUGGCUUAACCAUAGUACGCUUUGGAAACUGUUUAACUUGAGUGCAAGAGGGGAGAGUGGAAUUCCAUGUGUAGCGGUGAAAUGCGUAGAUAUAUGGAGGAACACCGGUGGCAAAAGCGGCUCUCUGGCUUGUAACUAACGCUGAGGCUCGAAAGCGUGGGGAGCAAACAGGAUUAGAUACCCUGGUAGUCCACGCCGUAACGAUGAGUGCUAGGUGUUAGACCCUUUCCGGGGUUUAGUGUCGCAGCUAACGCAUUAAGCACUCCGCCUGGGGAGUACGACCGCAAGGUU
Molecule: ribosomal RNA, 548 nt
Filed under: uncultured bacterium
Lineage: Bacteria
Description: bacterial SSU rRNA
Rfam family: Bacterial small subunit ribosomal RNA
Source: RNAcentral